GAUGUGCCAAAAAAGGUUCAUGCAUAAGGAACCAUCCAGACUGCCCAUAAUUAAUAUGCAUUGAUUCCGCCAUGGAACAUGGGAACACUUUUGGGGGAAGCCAUCACAUGAAACCAACUACAUGGGCAAGUACAUGUACAUGUGUGGAGAAUUUUUCGUUCAUCAAAUUGUGCUUGGACUGUUAACGGGGGACAAAGCGACACAAAAGUACACUGAGAUCAACUAUUCUGUUCACGCUUACCAACAAAUGAAAUUUUGGCUGAGUUUGGGAAAGGAUUGCAAAAUUUGCCAUUCUCCGGCGUGGUUGUCUGCGGCUGACGAUGACUGACGCGGUGGUGGGCAACUGCCUAUCAGAUGUCCUCUGGUUUAAUCAUGCGUGGUCAAAAACGACCCGGCGGUAUGAAGAUGCACUACGUCAACAUAAUACCCGCACCCAGGCCGUAGUGCACAAGGUCAGCGGCGUUAAUGUAUUACCAGGCUAAUUCAGCAGUCGAGCCAGGCUGAUUUGUUGAAUGGGGGAGCGUGGUCUGAAUUUUUUUUUUUACGAGUGGUCACAUCAAAGGAAAAAUUAAUGGAGAAAGAUUAAUGCAGACACAAUCACUUAAAAUACUUUACGUACGGCAGUCUAGGUUCUGGCUGAUCAAUUCAAACUGCAGAUGCAUUUAAAAUGCUCAUAAUAUAAUUAUAAUACAUUGCCCUACAAAAACCCUCAGAUUAAUAGAUUACACCAUUUGGUUGACUAGCUUACGUGAAAUUGUGCAAAUAAGGUUAGUGUAUUUAAGACAAAGAAUUUUGUUUCUUGCGUGUACACGUGUACAUACAUACGUGUACAUGUACAGGAAUAUUAACAUUGUAGGCCGGCUUGGUGUGGCUCCAUAAUUUUUUUUUUAAUUGGUAAAUUUUUUUCAAAUAAAGGAAUUCUGACUCUGCUUGGUUCUCAAGGUUGCGUGAAGUGAACAGAAACACAACUAUCUUUUUUUUGUUUGGCACAUUACUUGGUUCAAAAUUUGUGUCUUCUUCAACGUUCUGGUGGUUUUUGACAGAUCAGGGAGAUUUAUGUAUUGGAUUUUAAAGGCAGCAUGAAGGUGUAUUUGAAAGAGAGCCAGUUUAGUAUAAAUACUCCAUUCGCUGUAUCCAACCAAAAGGGUUCAGGUUUCAGUGAGGGACAGUCGGGAAGCCUUCCCGGACAUGCAUGCCUACAACCAAAUACUUCACUUGUUUACAAAUGUUGUUGUUGCCAGAAUGUUUGCGUACUAAGUGAUUAAUUUACCAGGAAACAUUGGAUUUCCCACUUAUUACACACCAAAUGCCAAGUAUCAGUCGGAAAUCCACAGAGCAACUGACAUGUGCAUGCAUUGUACAUGUACAUAUACAUGUACAUACCAGGUCUACCACAGAGGGACAAGGGGGGGUACCAGCAUGUCUGCACUGAUGAUUUAGUGCUUUGUUUACUCAGGGCAGAUUGUUGUCUGGGGAACCAGUAUUUUAUCAAUGUGUCUAGCACUACACAGCAUGUGCAACAUGGAGCUAUGUAAUUAAUGGAGUGCUAAUUCGCAGUUCCAAGCGAAGCCUGCUGGGUGUAUCCAUGUUCGCGCAAAAACCCAUGGAAAACCUGAAAUUUUGUGUGGCUUUUGUAUGGUUUUUUGCACAUCUGCAUCCAUAUUCUAAAGCAAUCAGUAAAUGAGUAUUUAGUUUUGCUUAGUGUAAGCAACACAAGCAAUGUAAAAAACGUGCGUGUGUGUGAAUUUGUUUCUGCAUUCA
Molecule: long non-coding RNA, 1761 nt
Filed under: Acanthaster planci (crown-of-thorns starfish)
Lineage: Eukaryota; Metazoa; Echinodermata; Asteroidea; Valvatida; Acanthasteridae
Description: uncharacterized LOC110981976
Source: RNAcentral